ACCGGCGCGACGGGUGAGUACACGUAUCCAACCUGCCGAUGACUCGGGGACAGCCUUUCGAAAGAAAGAUUAAUACCCGAUGGCAUAGUUCUUCCGCAUGGUGGAACUAUUAAAGAAUUUCGGUCAUCGAUGGGGAUGCGUUCCAUUAGGUUGUUGGCGGGGUAACGGCCCACCAAGCCUUCGAUGGAUAGGGGUUCUGAGAGGAAGGUCCCCCACAUUGGAACUGAGACACGGUCCAAACUCCUACGGGAGGCAGCAUG
This 260-nucleotide ribosomal RNA is filed under the name uncultured bacterium. RNAcentral describes it as "partial 16S ribosomal RNA". It matches the Rfam family "Bacterial small subunit ribosomal RNA", at positions 94 to 353 of the family's 1533-position model. The record is from RNAcentral.